Molecule: ribosomal RNA, 809 nt
Filed under: Mammaliicoccus vitulinus
Lineage: Bacteria; Bacillati; Bacillota; Bacilli; Caryophanales; Staphylococcaceae
Description: bacterial SSU rRNA
Rfam family: Bacterial small subunit ribosomal RNA
Source: RNAcentral
CGAACCGAUGAGAAGCUUGCAUUCUCUGAUGUUAGCGGCGGACGGGUGAGUAACACGUGGGUAACCUACCUAUAAGACUGGGAUAACUCCGGGAAACCGGGGCUAAUACCUGAUAAUAUUUUGAACCGCAUGGUUCGAUAGUGAAAGACGGCUUCGGCUGUCACUUAUAGAUGGACCCGCGCCGUAUUAGCUAGUUGGUAAGGUAAUGGCUUACCAAGGCGACGAUACGUAGCCGACCUGAGAGGGUGAUCGGCCACACUGGAACUGAGACACGGUCCAGACUCCUACGGGAGGCAGCAGUAGGGAAUCUUCCGCAAUGGGCGAAAGCCUGACGGAGCAACGCCGCGUGAGUGAUGAAGGUCUUAGGAUCGUAAAACUCUGUUGUUAGGGAAGAACAAAUUUGUUAGUAACUGAACAAGUCUUGACGGUACCUAACCAGAAAGCCACGGCUAACUACGUGCCAGCAGCCGCGGUAAUACGUAGGUGGCAAGCGUUAUCCGGAAUUAUUGGGCGUAAAGCGCGCGUAGGCGGUUUCUUAAGUCUGAUGUGAAAGUCCACGGCUCAACCGUGGAAGGUCAUUGGAAACUGGGGAACUUGAGUGCAGAAGAGGAGAGUGGAAUUCCAUGUGUAGCGGUGAAAUGCGCAGAGAUAUGGAGGAACACCAGUGGCGAAAGCGGCUCUCUGGUCUGUAACUGACGCUGAUGUGCGAAAGCGUGGGGAUCAAACAGGAUUAGAUACCCUGGUAGUCCACGCCGUAAACGAUGAGUGCUAAGUGUUAGGGGGUUUCCGCCCCUUAGUGCUGCAGCUAA